GACAGAGGGUGCAAACGUUGUUCGGAAUUACUGGGCGUAAAGCGCGUGUAGGCGGCCUUGCAAGUCGGAUGUGAAAGCCCUCGGCUCAACCGGGGAAGUGCACCCGAAACUGCAAGGCUCGAGUUCCGGAGAGGAUAGUGGAAUUCUCGGUGUAGAGGUGAAAUUCGUAGAUAUCGGGAGGAACACCUGUGGCGAAAGCGGCGCACUGGACCACUACUGACGCUGAGGCGCGAAAGCUAGGGGAGCAAACAGG
Molecule: ribosomal RNA, 253 nt
Filed under: uncultured bacterium
Lineage: Bacteria
Description: partial 16S ribosomal RNA
Rfam family: Bacterial small subunit ribosomal RNA
Source: RNAcentral